GUCCAGGGGCGGGAAUCGAAUCCACAAUCUUCUGCUUACCGGGCAGGUGCCAUGUCCACUAGGCUACCCUGGA
Molecule: transfer RNA, 73 nt
Filed under: Cordylochernes scorpioides
Lineage: Eukaryota; Metazoa; Arthropoda; Arachnida; Pseudoscorpiones; Chernetidae
Description: tRNA-Thr
Source: RNAcentral